RNAcentral lists this unclassified non-coding RNA (200 nucleotides) under Scoliciosporum sp. RNAcentral's name for it is "partial internal transcribed spacer 2". The record is from RNAcentral. Lineage: Eukaryota; Fungi; Ascomycota; Lecanoromycetes; Lecanorales; Lecanoraceae.
UUAAGUUCAGCGGGUAUCCCUACCUGAUCCGAGGUCAAUUCAUUGAAAUAGGGUUGUUGUCUGGCGGGCCCAGGGGGAGCUUCCAAAGCGGGAAAUAAUUUACUACGCUUGAAGUCCGACCGGACCGCCCAUGCUUUUGGGGCCCGCCCGGGGAGGCGAAGGCCCAAUACCAAGCUACGCUUGAGGGGUGCAAUGACGCU